RNAcentral lists this ribosomal RNA (253 nucleotides) under uncultured bacterium. Its description in RNAcentral is "partial 16S ribosomal RNA". It matches the Rfam family "Bacterial small subunit ribosomal RNA", at positions 524 to 776 of the family's 1533-position model. The record is from RNAcentral.
UACGGGGGGGGCUAGCGUUGUUCGGAAUUACUGGGCGUAAAGGGCGCGUAGGCGGUCUAUUAAGUUGGAUGUGAAAACUCUGGGCUUAACCCAGAGCCUGCAUUCAAAACUGAUAGGCUGGAGUUCUGGAGGGGAUAGCGGAAUUCCUGGUGUAGCGGUGAAAUGCGCAGAUAUCAGGAGGAACACCGGUGGCGAAGGCGGGUCUCUGGGCAGUAACUGACGCUGAGGAGCGAAAGCGUGGGGAGCGAACAGG